Molecule: long non-coding RNA, 938 nt
Filed under: Rattus norvegicus (Norway rat)
Lineage: Eukaryota; Metazoa; Chordata; Mammalia; Rodentia; Muridae
Description: long non-coding RNA NONRATT008900
Source: RNAcentral
GACAGGCUUUAAAAAUAUUUUAUUUACGGUUAGCUUGUACACGGGCGUGGGGGCACGCAUGUGCCACAGCUGCAUGCAGAAGUCAGAGGGCCGCUUUCUGGAAUAUGUUCUCUCCUUUCACCGUGGGUUUUGGGACUGGGACUCAGGUUGUCCAGGGUUGUUUGUUUUGUUUUGUUUUGUUUUGUUUUGCUUUGUUUUGUUUUGUUUUGUGUUUGCUGUUGUUUUGUUUUGGCAGCAAGCACUUUUGCCCACCCAGCCAGCCCAACCCUGGCUAUUUUAAGUUCUUGCUUAAUUACAACAAGAUAUUUUUCCCUAGUAUUAAAAAAAACUCAACUAUUUUUGUUUCCAUUGUUUACAGAUUACAGUUUGCUUUUAAAAGAAAAAUAAAGAAAUAAAGGUUUUCUGGGUUCAUGAAAAGUUUCCAAAAGCAAUAUCUCUUUCACUAAUGUCUACAGGAUUUAAAAGAGCCAGAGUGAAUCACAUUUCAUUAUCUAACUAUUACAUUAUAUAAUAUCUUUAAUCAGAGUGAAAGACAGUCAUAGUCUUGCCGGGUCUUAAUAUUUUCCCAUUUAUAACCAAAUCAGUGAAAAAAAUAAUAGCCGCUGUCUCGAUGGCAGCGGUAAAGGAACAUUAUAAAAGCAUCUCAUAUAAACUUUAUUCUCAACUAGAAAAAAUAGCAGAAAGUUUGUUAACAUUUAAAAUACCAGUACUAUAUUGCCUGCUCUAAAUAACUUAAGCCUGAAGGAGUUUCUUCAGUGUUUAUUCUCUUUUCCUUUUUUUUUCUUUUGUAUUUAAUUCUAAUAAAUGUCACAGCCGAAGAGUUCCAGGCGAAGUGCAAUACUUUGGUUCCAUGUUUUAGGAAUGAUUCGGAUAAAUCUGGAAAUAAUAGGUGGGUUGAAAAAGUUCUUCAUAUGCCCUUUGGUAUUGCUAUUCCCUUC